CCAAUUCUUCUAAAAUUCAAAUCUACUUCCCUCCCCUAAUCUUCUCACUUUUAUCCCAAACCCUAUCACCUAUCUUCAGUGUUUGCUCUCCACACUCUCCCCUAAUCGACUAUUGCAAAAUAUAUUUUUCGAUCACAACACUGUGGAAACCGCCAUCUUCGAUCUUUUACAAUUACCGAUCAUCACCGAUUACGCCUAUUCCCAAGCGUCACUCCAAACUCGUUUUUAAAUGUCUGUUGACAGAAGCAUUAGGUGGUUCUGAUUACGGUAGGAUUUCAAUUGUGUGAGCCGACCAUAAACACCAACACCCAACCGAAAUAAUACCUUGAAGAGCCUCUCUUGCCUUCUUCUCCAGCCCAGCAAACUCGUGAAUCGACAUCAGAUCCUUAAUGGAGAAAGCGAAAAUCGGACUGAUCUUACACCAUUGACUGAUUAGCAACCAAAUGUUAGAGGCCACGGAACACGAACAGAAAAGAUGAACAGCCGACUCAUCGCCUUCAUGCGUCACUCUGAUACAUUAUUUGCUUUACUUUGAUUCUACCUAUUUGAUUAGUGGGUAAAACGUGUUUUAUUUAUGUUUUUCUUUUUUAUUUCUACUACGAUUAAACGCAAUUAAUUUGACCUGUUUUAAUUGGGUCGAUUUUGAUGAUAAAUCCUGGAUCCGUCAUUAGUUGUUGGAUAUGAAAGUGGGAUGCUUAACUUGCUUUGUUUGAUUAUUCAAGGACAAAUAGCCUGCUUCUAAAAUGAAUAGCAGGGAAUUUAUAUGGUUCCGGUUGCACGUAUGAGUUGAAGAUGUCAAUUUGGGUUGCAAGUAUGAAGACACUUGUUCGGGAAGCUAUUGUAUAUCACUUUCAUCUAUAGAAAUACAUGCAUUUUUGUUACUUUGAAACUUUUGUAAUUUUGUUUUACUUUCAAGUCUUUGUAAUUCGUAUUCUUGGGUUAUUCUAUAUUGGUUUUAAUUUAAUUAUGUUUUUUAUUUUU
This 981-nucleotide long non-coding RNA is filed under the name Helianthus annuus (common sunflower). RNAcentral describes it as "hypothetical non coding rna". Lineage: Eukaryota; Viridiplantae; Streptophyta; Magnoliopsida; Asterales; Asteraceae. The record is from RNAcentral.